Molecule: long non-coding RNA, 1075 nt
Filed under: Sarcophilus harrisii (Tasmanian devil)
Lineage: Eukaryota; Metazoa; Chordata; Mammalia; Dasyuromorphia; Dasyuridae
Description: lncRNA (ENSSHAG00000022596.1)
Source: RNAcentral
AGUAUUAUAAUCAGUUUAAAUCAGUAUAUGUUUUAGAACAAGUUUAAGUUUUGGGAAAAAUAGUCUUGGAACAAAAUGCUAGAGGCAAUUUGUGAAGGAGAUAGGUUAGGGGAAAUAAGAUUCAUUUCCUUGUUUCAUGUAGCUAUGAGAUGGAAUGAGUUUGAAGAGAAAAAAAAAGUAGGGAGAAGAAAAAAUAUUAUCCAGAAAACCAAGAUCCAGUUCUUGCAUAGGAUAUUUUAGAUUAAUGACAGAGCAGUAGAAAGCAUAAUGUUUUUAUUAUCUUGAAAAGCUGCUCCCUAACACUCUUCCUUCCCUUUGCCAAGGUUUGACACCAGCAAAUCAAAUUUCAUUGUAAAUCUCUGAAGUGCAGUUUGGUCACUGGGGGUUUAGCCAAGUUUAUGGCCUUUCAGUUUGUAAUUGUAUUUUUACUAACUAUAUGUUACUGACAACCUAGCGAAGGCGUCUCUAGAUAUUGAAGAAAAUGGCCAUUUAUGCUAAAUCUAUUGAAUGCAGUGACACAACAGCAUUAGGGACUUUGCCUUAGACAAAUAUCAUCAUCGUCAGUUAAGUUGGUGUGCUUGAUUCUAAUUCUUGAAAAGGAAAUGACAGGACCAAUGUGUUGUCAAGAACAGUCUGAAGUACAUCAUUCAUAUCAAUAUUUAGGAGAUUGUCAUCAAGAGACUGCUGCUUGAAGAAGGAAUCCGUAUCUAGGAUUUCCAGAAUAUAAAACUUUUAUUAAAACAGGAGGUGGGAAAAAUCUAGUUUAAUGCAAUCAAGGAGCUGCAGUUUGAUUUAAACUUGUACCUCAUUUUAUCAUGGAACUGGCUUCCAGAUUUAUUCUGUGGGCCCAGAUUGGACCAAAAGACAUAAUUAUCAUAGAUGAUGACAGGUACUCAUCUAAUGUUGUUAAACAAGAUCCUGAGCAAUCCUGAGCAACUGUUAGAAGGAAGAAAGUAAUAAAAGAUGAUUGUGAUUUAAUUUAUCUGCAUUAAUUUGGAAAUUAGAUCUUUAGAUCAUUAAUUGGAUUUAAACAUGAAAACCUGGAAAAAAAUUAAACUCUUUUGAAAUUGGAAAA